Molecule: ribosomal RNA, 253 nt
Filed under: uncultured bacterium
Lineage: Bacteria
Description: partial 16S ribosomal RNA
Rfam family: Bacterial small subunit ribosomal RNA
Source: RNAcentral
UACGUAGGCAGCAAGCGUUGUUCGGAAUUACUGGGCGUAAAGAGCGUGUAGGCGGCUAUACAGGUCCGCUGUGAAAACUCGAGGCUCAACCUCGAGACGUCGGUGGAAACCGUAUGGCUAGAGUCCGGAAGAGGAGAGUGGAAUUCCUGGUGUAGCGGUGAAAUGCGUAGAUAUCAGGAGGAACACCGGUGGUGUAGACGGCUCACUGGACCGUAACUGACGCUGAGACACGAAAGCGUGGGUAGCAAACAGG